This is a long non-coding RNA of Solanum dulcamara, 263 nucleotides long. RefSeq lists it as uncharacterized. Lineage: Eukaryota; Viridiplantae; Streptophyta; Magnoliopsida; Solanales; Solanaceae. The transcript is spliced from 3 exons. The record is from RefSeq and is a predicted model, not a curated record.
CAAAAUCGAAGUGUUUGUUAAGUCCUCACCAUCACGGACAUUGCUCCGUCUGGUUUGUACGGGCAGGUAAAGCAAGGAUGUGAGGUACUGCUCCCUGUACAUUGUCAAACAUGCCGGGUCAGAACUUCUUUACAGCAUAAUGCGAUGAAAUCAUUCCCCUUAGAGGAUCUAAAUCGGAAAACGACGUACAGCAAUACCUGAACUAUAGUUGCAGGAUUAGCACUGUAUUCAAGAUAAUUUUGAAGGCAUUCAGCAAUCUGAAA